AUUGAACGCUAGCGGCAGGCCUAAUACAUGCAAGUCGAACGGUCGUAGUAAUACGAUAGUGGCGCACGGGUGCGUAACACGUAUGCAACCUACCUUAUAGAGGGGGAUAGCCUUUGGAAACGGAGAUUAAUACCCCAUAAUACAUUUGAUAGGCAUCUAUUUAAUGUUAAAGAUUUAUCGCUAUAAGCUGGGCAUGCGUCCAAUUAGUUAGUUGGCGGGGUAAUGGCUCACCAAGACUUUGAUUGGUAGGGGAACUGAGAGGUUAAUCCCCCACACUGGCACUGAGAUACGGGCCAGACUCCUACGGGAGGCAGCAGUAGGGAAUAUUGGGCAAUGGAGGCAACUCUGACCCAGCCAUGCCGCGUGCAGGAUGAAGGCGUUAUGCGUUGUAAACUGCUUUUAUAUAGGAAGAAAGAGUUCUUGCGAGAACAGUUGACGGUACUAUAUGAAUAAGCACCGGCUAACUCCGUGCCAGCAGCCGCGGUAAUACGGAGGGUGCAAGCGUUGUCCGGAUUUAUUGGGUUUAAAGGGUGCGUAGGCGGUUUAUUAAGUCAGUGGUGAAAGACGGUCGCUCAACGAUUGCAGUGCCAUUGAUACUGGUAGACUUGAGUGAGAUUGAGGUAGCUGGAAUGGAUAGUGUAGCGGUGAAAUGCAUAGAUAUUAUCCAGAACACCAAUUGCGUAGGCAAGUUACUAAGUCUCAACUGACGCUGAGGCACGAAAGUGUGGGUAUCAAACAGGAUUAGAUACCCUGGUAGUCCACACUGUAAACGAUGAUAACUAACUGUUGGCUUUCGGGUCAGUGGUACAGAGAAAUCGUUAAGUUAUCCACCUGGGGAGUACGCCGGCAACGGUG
Molecule: ribosomal RNA, 855 nt
Filed under: uncultured bacterium
Lineage: Bacteria
Description: bacterial SSU rRNA
Rfam family: Bacterial small subunit ribosomal RNA
Source: RNAcentral